GUUUAAUUUUUUGAAAAAUUUUGCCAUAGUUUCCCCAUAAAAAUGGAGGUUUCCAUGAUUUCAAAGGAUAUCAUUUGCUUUUAUAAAUCAUCACAAUCAGCAACAAAUAAACCAAUACUUACCCAUUUGCCAAAAUCAAGCAUUAAUCACUACUUUAUGAACUUGAAAAUUUACAAAAAUUUGUAGUAACUUACUAGUGUGUUUAAUAAGCUUAGUUACCCUUUAAAGUGUGGUUAUUGAUUUAAAAACAUCAUUAUUGAAGAAGUUAGAUGUUUACAACUUGUAAAUAAAUGUUCUAAAAUUUUUCUUCUUGAGUUUUUCUUGUUAAAUAUAUAUUUCUGCACUUGAUUAACCACUAAAAAUAUGGUUAAUCUCUUUAAGAACCAAGUUUAUGUAAAUCUUUUAUUUUUAACUUGAUUUCUUGGAAAAUCAUUCUUAAAAUCAUAGGUUUACAAGACUUUAUAUUCACUUUGAUCAUCAAUUUUUCAAGAAAAACAAUUUACACUUCAAGUUCAUGAUUUACACAAGGAUGAUCUAUUGAUCUACAACAUAAUCAUCAUCUCAUCUUGCUAGAUUAUGUCUUAAAUCACCAUCUAGCAAGCUAAUAUGAUGUUUAACAUCAUAAACACAAAUAAUCAACCAUCAAGAAGCAUAAUAACACUUAACAACAUGUUUUUUUAUGACUUUUAAGCUUAUGUUUAAGUUUCAUGUUCAUGAUUCAUAGUGUUCUUCAAGAUUAGUUACUUGUAUCAUUCUUUAACCAACUAAAUAAGAUGUAAAAAUGGAUGUAGAUGAUCUUACUACUAGCUCAAGGCUAGGUAUGAUCACAAGAUGAAGAAAGGGGUGGUUAAAAGCUUGUAUGAAAGGUCCUUCAACUUCCAAGAGUUCCUAGCUUCCUUAUAUUGAAUGAUGAUGAUGGUUGUGUGGGUGUGGGUUACGACCGUUAGGAAGGAGAGGGGAAGAAGAAGAGUGAGUGAAGCGUGAAGUGUGAGAAUAAUGAGGUUAUGAUCUUAGAGUUAAACUUAUAAUUCACCAACAAUUCAUUCUCUAAUAGCUAAUGUGUUAUAAAAGAAGAAACAUGAUCUAAUAUAAUAAAAAAAUAAAAUCACAUAUGGGCCAUGCUUGUCUAGCCGUGAAUAGGUGGGGCGGGUAUAAAUUAGGGCUUAAUGUCUAGUUAGAUCAUAUAGUUGAAAUCAAAUGUUAUAGUUAGGGUGUUUAGUUAUUAGGAUGUUACAUAGUGUGUUAUGAUGUUCGGGGACCAUAACUAGCUUGGAAAUGUUAAAACAAUACUUCUAGUGAAAAUUUGGUGUUUCGGGUAGUGUCUGAUUGUUCGGUUGAUUACCGGUUCGUUAAGGUGCUAAACUAUGCAGUUUAGUGUGCUUUAUGUUACCUUUUGUGAUAGGUUUGAUUCCCGACAAUUAGGAAGGCAUUCUGGACCAUUUAACCAUAUUUCUGCAUGAUAUUUAAGUGUUUAAAAGCAGAUUUUUGCUGAAUUCAGCAAUUUAAGUGAGUUUUAGACACUUUUCGGCACUUAAACUAUCACUAGGAAGGCAGUUUUAUGAUCCAUACUUUCCUACACACUAUACUAGUGUAACUCUUGGUUCUUGGCUCAUUUUGUGCCUUAAUACAAUGUCUGUCUAUGUACUGAACUCCGUCAGCAUUUUUUUCUGAUUUAUCUGAUAACUGUGCUACCUUUGUUUCGUGCAUCAUAUGAAUCAAUAAAUGUUGCAUGCAAUAAUGAUUUGACAUUUUUCAAUAUAGGAUGCACAUGUUUGUAUGAUAACAAAAUCAGAAAGCAGUUCAUGUCAUAAAUGGUAAAUCAACACAAUCAUUAAGUUUUAAUUAUUGUUUAAUAAUUGUACGGAUACCUGGAAUUUUGGCAGCUGUCACACUUGAGUCUAGGGUAUGAAAAGCCCGCCACUUUUGCGCUCUAAACCUCGGUUUUAGACCUAUCGCUUUUGUUCACUUCUCGCUUUUUAAAACCAAGUUUGAUACCUGCACCAAAUUAACAUGAACAUGAAGAUUAAGCUUUGUAGAGGAAAUAAUCAUAUAGGUUGGUUUCUUGAAAUCCUCUCAUGAACAUGGUUCACACGUAUUAUUUUUAGUGAUUUAAUGGGGCUUGUUCUCAUAGACUAGUUUUGCAAGCGCCAUGAUGCGUUCUUAAUCCCCAGAUGCUAGUUAUUUCGUUUUGUGUAUCAUUGAGGUUCAUUGGGCCAUGGACUCAUUAUGUAGUACCCAAUCUAUGGGGUACCAAGCAUGCACACCUUUAUAUCCCAAUAGAUAUAAAGUAAUGACAACGACAUCACGCGUUUAGGCACAUCUUGAGUAGACCCGAUCCUAACCUAUUUGGCCCAUCAUAUUCUCCCACCACCUAAAGGGAUGCCUAAAAAACAUAUCAUCCUAAUGUACAAUAACCAUUUCCAAUGAAUCGGGCCCUUGCUCUCCAUUGGUAACUGAUCCCGAUCCUUCCCUUAGGUUGGUCUAUCCCCGUGGAGAUAUGGUUCAACCCUUCACACACCCUCGAGUGAAACACGCGACUCCAUGCGCCUUAACAUUCCUAGGGAAUCUGUAAUUACCUCACCCACGAGCUUGAUUGGAUGACAUAGGUCUCCUUAGUAGAUUUUCUCCCACCACUGUUGCGUAUCCACCAUUUAUGAACUUUUUGGGAUAAGUGACAACUCGCCAAAGUUCCUAAAGAUUAAACCCGCUUUAAUAACACUUGCCAUGCAGUCGCCUUAUGAGUUCUGUGUGUUGCCCUUGAAUCUGAAGGACUAUGAUACACGUUGAGUCACUCCUAAUAGAUAUGUAAGAAUGAUAAUGAACCCACAUUUUAGCGCGUCAUGUUACGCUUAGGUUUACCUACGUAAAAUCACAAUCUCCAUUGGUAAUUUAAAAAAAACAAAAAACUAUGAUUGCUAGGUGGGGCAAUAGAAAUUUAAAUCAAACAGGAUUAGGCUAAAAAAUGGUUCAACCGGUUGAACCAGGUUGUACCAAACAGUUCAACCGGGUUAACUAGUUAACUCUAUAAUUUCAUAAAUUACAACAUCAACUCAAAAGUUAAUCUAGAAAUGCAUGAUUACAUAUUAAAAGAUAAUCCAAAAGUUAAAUCAUAAUAACAAAUAAUCUAAAAAAUAAUAAAAAAUCAUUCAAUUUUUCAGCAAGCUCUUUCAAAUGAAAGUGUACAAUAUGUUUAAUUCAUUUGAGUGUUGAAUACAUCAAGUUUAUGAUCGCAUAAAAGUAGGGGCGGACCCACCCUAAGCCGCGGGUGGGCGGGCGUACCCCUUGGAAAAAAAGGUUUUAAUGUUAUUUUUCGUUGGAAAUCCCGACCGCAUCCCUUGAAAAAUUUUAUCCGCACCUCUUGAAAAUUUUGACCCCAUGAUAAAGAAGAUAU
RNAcentral lists this long non-coding RNA (3391 nucleotides) under Helianthus annuus (common sunflower). Its description in RNAcentral is "hypothetical non coding rna". The record is from RNAcentral. Lineage: Eukaryota; Viridiplantae; Streptophyta; Magnoliopsida; Asterales; Asteraceae.